This 211-nucleotide small RNA is filed under the name Paenibacillus rhizosphaerae. RNAcentral describes it as "c-di-AMP sequence". It matches the Rfam family "c-di-AMP riboswitch aptamer (ydaO/yuaA leader)". From Rfam's summary of the family: This family represents a conserved RNA structure found upstream of the ydaO and yuaA genes in Bacillus subtilis and related genes in other bacteria. The ydaO/yuaA element is thought to act as a genetic "off" switch for the ydaO and yuaA genes in its native state. It is believed that the element may be triggered during osmotic shock leading to activation of ydaO, a predicted amino acid transporter gene, and members of the yuaA-yubG operon which code for KtrA and KtrB K+ transporters. Lineage: Bacteria; Bacillati; Bacillota; Bacilli; Caryophanales; Paenibacillaceae. The record is from Rfam by way of RNAcentral.
CAUUACUAAUCGCUGAGUUUCCGCAAAAAAGCGCGGAAAUCGGGGGAACCAAACGCGUGCCAUGGAGCAGCGAACCGGUGUGAGAGUCGGGGGUCUGCUGCCAGCCGCAGGGGUGAAUCCCGGCUACGGAUGCCAUGGAUCCGGCCGGGUAGAGCGACUCUCACCGCUCGAAUCCGUCAGCUAACCUCGUAAGCGUCGUUUGAGAGAGGAA